UCCCUGCUGGUCCAAAGGCUAAGACUCUGUGCUCUCAAUGCAGGGGGUCUGGGUUCAAUCCCUAGUCAGGGAA
RNAcentral lists this transfer RNA (73 nucleotides) under Ovis aries (sheep). It matches the Rfam family "tRNA". Rfam says of the family: Transfer RNA (tRNA) molecules are approximately 80 nucleotides in length. Their secondary structure includes four short double-helical elements and three loops (D, anti-codon, and T loops). Lineage: Eukaryota; Metazoa; Chordata; Mammalia; Artiodactyla; Bovidae. The record is from Rfam by way of RNAcentral.